Molecule: ribosomal RNA, 497 nt
Filed under: uncultured bacterium
Lineage: Bacteria
Description: partial 16S ribosomal RNA
Rfam family: Bacterial small subunit ribosomal RNA
Source: RNAcentral
GAUGAACGCUGGCGGCGUGCCUAAUACAUGCAAGUCGAGCGAACAGACGCGGAGCUUGCUCCUCUGACGUUAGCGGCGGACGGGUGAGUAACACGUGGAUAACCUACCUAUAAGACUGGGAUAACUUCGGGAAACCGGAGCUAAUACCGGAUAAUAUAUUGAACCGCAUGGUUCAAUAGUGAAAGACGGUUUUGCUGUCACUUAUAGAUGGAUCCGCGCCGCAUUAGCUAGUUGGUAAGGUAACGGCUUACCAAGGCAACGAUGCGUAGCCGACCUGAGAGGGUGAUCGGCCACACUGGAACUGAGACACGGUCCAGACUCCUACGGGAGGCAGCAGUAGGGAAUCUGCCGCAAUGGGCGAAAGCCUGACGGAGCAACGCCGCGUGAGUGAUGAAGGUCUUCGGAUCGUAAAACUCUGUUAUUAGGGAAGAACAAAUGUGUAAGUAACUAUGCACGUCGUGACGGUACCUAAUCAGAAAGCCACGGCUAACUACGUG